This 372-nucleotide unclassified non-coding RNA is filed under the name Hevea brasiliensis (rubber tree). The record is from RNAcentral. Lineage: Eukaryota; Viridiplantae; Streptophyta; Magnoliopsida; Malpighiales; Euphorbiaceae.
AGUCUCCAAGGUGGCUUGUGAGUAAAGGAAGGAUGCUUGAGGCUAAGAAGGUUUUGCAGAGGCUUCGUGGCAGGGAAGAUGUAUCUGGUGAGAUGGCUUUAUUGGUUGAAGGACUUGGCAUUGGGGGUGAAACAUCAAUAGAAGAGUACAUAAUUGGCCCAGCCAAUGAUGUCACUGAUGACCAAGACAUAUCUGUGGACAAAGAUCAUAUCAAGUUAUAUGGGCCUGAACAAGGUCUCAGCUGGGUUGCCAAACCCGUCACUGGGCGGAGCACUAUCAGUCUUGUGUCUCGGCGUGGAAGCAUGAAAAACCAGAGUGUGCCUCUCAUGGAUCCUCUUGUCACCCUUUUUGGUAGUAUACAUGAAAAGCUCC